This 1469-nucleotide ribosomal RNA is filed under the name uncultured marine eukaryote. Its description in RNAcentral is "bacterial SSU rRNA". It matches the Rfam family "Bacterial small subunit ribosomal RNA". The record is from RNAcentral.
GAGUUUGAUCAUGGCUCAGGAUGAACGCUGGUGGUUUGCCUAACACAUGCAAGUCAAACGUUUUUUAGAUUAAAUUCUUUUAAUUUGAAGAAUAGUGGCGGACGGGUGAGGAACGCGUAAGAACCUGCCUUUAGGAAAGGAAAAACAUUAGGAAACUGUUGUUAAAACCUUAUAUGCCGAGAGGUGAAAGAUUAAAAAAUGCCAGAAGAUGGGCUUGCGUCUGAUUAGUUUGUUGAUGAGGUAAUGUCUUAUCAAGACGAUGAUCAGUAAUUGGUCUUAGAGGAUGAUCAGUCACACUGGAACUGAGACACGGUUCAGACUCCUAUGGGAGGCAGCAGAGAGGAAUUUUCCGCAAUGAGCGAAAGCUUGACGGAGCAAAACCACGUGGUGGAGGACGGUUUAUGGACUGUAAACACCUUUUUUUCAAGAAGACUUACGACAGUAUUGGAAGAAUAAGCAUCGGCUAACUCUGUGCCAGCAGCCGCGGUAAAACAGAGGAUGCUAGCGUUAUCCGGAUUAACUGGGCGUAAAGCGUCUGUAGGCGGUUAUCUAAGUCUUAUGUUAAAUACUAGAGCUUAACUUUAGCCCAGCAUAGAAAACUUGGUAACUUGAGUAUGAUAGGAGCAAUAAGAAUUCCCAGUGGAGCGGUGAAAUGCGUAGAGCUUGGGAGGAAUACCAGAGGCGAAAGCGUAUUGCUAGGUUAUUACUAACGUCCAAGGACGAAAGCUAGGUUAGCAAAUGGGAUUAGAUACCCCAGUAGUCCUAGCUCUAAACGAUGGAGACUAAAUUUUUUUUCUUUCUUAUUUAGAAACACGGAAAAGAGUUGAAGCUAACGCGUUAAGUCUCCCGCCUGGGGAGUAUGUUUGCAAGAAUGAAACUCAAAGGAAUUGACGGGGGGCCCGCCCAAGCAGUGGAGCAUGUGGUUUAAUUCGAUGCAACGCGAAGAACCUUACCAGGAUUUGACAUGACACUACUAGAUAAGGUGUUAACGAAAGUUAACUUUAGUUCACAGGUGGUGCAUGGCUGUCGUCAGCUCGUGUCGCGAGAUGUUGGGUUAAGUCCCGCAACGAGCGCAACCUUUAUUUUUUGUUGUGAUAUCAGAUCAAGAAAGACUGCCAGUGAUAAGCUGGAGGACGGUAAAGAUAACGUCAAGUCAGCAUGCCCCUUAUAUUCUGGGCAACACACGUGCUACAAUAGUUGGGACAAAGUGUAACUCCUUUGUAAAGAGAUGUUAAUCAUUAAACCCAACUUCAGUUCGGAUCCAUCUCUGCAACUCGAGAUGGUUAAGUCGGAAUUGCUAGUAAUCGCUGGUCAGCUAUACGGCGGUGAAUACGUUCCCGGGCCUUGUACACACCGCCCGUCACACCACGGAAGUGAACCAUACCCAGAGUCGUUAUUCCAACCUUAUUUUUGGAGGAAGGCGUUGAAGGUAGGGUUGAUGACUGGGGUGAAGUCGUAACAAGGUAACC